AGUAAAUCAAUGAUUAAGAGAAGUAAUUUAUUUUAUGUUUUAAAAAGAGAUCUAGCAGAGGGUGAAAAGUUAGAAAACAGGAUAAAUGAAAAACACUUAUGAGAGAUAGAAGAAAGCACUAGCGAGUAGAACUAUCCGUAUCUUCUGCGUUAAAGAAUUUAAAGCUAGUUUUAAACUAGAAAAUAAGGUGGUACCGCGUCAUUUAACGCCCUUAGG
The sequence is a regulatory RNA element, 216 nucleotides long. It matches the Rfam family "T-box leader". Rfam says of the family: Uncharged tRNA acts as the effector for transcription antitermination of genes in the T-box leader family. T-boxes are found upstream of many aminoacyl-tRNA synthetase genes and some amino acid biosynthetic genes usually in Gram-positive bacteria. The record is from Rfam.